UACGUAGGGGGCUAGCGUUGUCCGGAAUCAUUGGGCGUAAAGCGCGUGUAGGCGGUUCGGUAAGUCCGCUGUGAAAGUCGGGGGCUCAACCCUCGGAUGCCGGUGGAUACUGUCGAGCUUGAGUACGGAAGAGGCGAGUGGAAUUCCUGGUGUAGCGGUGAAAUGCGCAGAUAUCAGGAGGAACACCAAUGGCGAAGGCAGCUCUCUGGGACGGUACUGACGCUGAGACGCGAAAGCGUGGGGAGCGAACAGG
RNAcentral lists this ribosomal RNA (253 nucleotides) under uncultured bacterium. Its description in RNAcentral is "partial 16S ribosomal RNA". It matches the Rfam family "Bacterial small subunit ribosomal RNA", at positions 524 to 776 of the family's 1533-position model. The record is from RNAcentral.